GUGGGGAAUAUUGGACAAUGGGCGAAAGCCUGAUCCAGCCAUGCCGCGUGUGUGAAGAAGGUCUUCGGAUUGUAAAGCACUUUAAGUUGGGAGGAAGGGCAGUAAGUUAAUACCUUGCUGUUUUGACGUUACCGACAGAAUAAGCACCGGCUAACUUCGUGCCAGCAGCCGCGGUAAUACGAAGGGUGCAAGCGUUAAUCGGAAUUACUGGGCGUAAAGCGCGCGUAGGUGGUUUUGUAAGUUGGAGGUGAAAUCCCCGGGCUCAACCUGGGAACUGCCUCCAAAACUGCAUGACUAGAGUACGUUAGAGGGUAGUGGAAUUUCCUGUGUAGCGGUGAAAUGCGUAGAUAUAGGAAGGAACACCAGUGGCGAAGGCGACUACCUGGACUGAUACUGACACUGAGGUGCGAAAGCGUGGGGAGCAAACAGGAUUAGAAACCCCUGUAGUCC
This 450-nucleotide ribosomal RNA is filed under the name uncultured bacterium. Its description in RNAcentral is "partial 16S ribosomal RNA". It matches the Rfam family "Bacterial small subunit ribosomal RNA", at positions 354 to 796 of the family's 1533-position model. The record is from RNAcentral.